AGUGAACGCUGGCGGUAGGCCUAACACAUGCAAGUCGAACGGCAGCACAGUAAGAGCUUGCUCUUACGGGUGGCGAGUGGCGGACGGGUGAGGAAUACAUCGGAAUCUACUUUUUCGUGGGGGAUAACGUAGGGAAACUUACGCUAAUACCGCAUACGACCUACGGGUGAAAGCAGGGGAUCUUCGGACCUUGCGCGAUUGAAUGAGCCGAUGUCGGAUUAGCUAGUUGGCGGGGUAAAGGCCCACCAAGGCGACGAUCCGUAGCUGGUCUGAGAGGAUGAUCCCCCCCCCUGGAACUGAGACACGGCCCAGACCCCUACGGGAGGCAGCAGGGGGGAAUUUUGGACAAUGGGCGCAACCCUGACCCAGCCAUCCCGCGUGGGUGAAGAAGGCCUUCGGGUUGUAAAGCCCUUUUGUUGGGAAAAAAAAGCAGCAGGUUAAACCCCCCCUUUUCGGACGGUACCCAAAGAAUAAGCACCGGCUAACUUCGU
This 491-nucleotide ribosomal RNA is filed under the name uncultured bacterium. RNAcentral's name for it is "partial 16S ribosomal RNA". It matches the Rfam family "Bacterial small subunit ribosomal RNA", at positions 29 to 506 of the family's 1533-position model. The record is from RNAcentral.